This is a non-coding RNA of Strigamia maritima, 140 nucleotides long. Lineage: Eukaryota; Metazoa; Arthropoda; Chilopoda; Geophilomorpha; Linotaeniidae. The record is from Rfam.
ACUUCCAGACAAUGAGUUAGUUGUCUUGGGUCGAAGAACCCAACCAACUGCGUGAAUUAAUGUGAAUUGCAGAACACAUUGAACAUCGGCAUUUUGAACGCACCAGAUGCUGAGUUUGUCUCAUAUCAAUAGGAAUGCUC